Molecule: transfer RNA, 69 nt
Filed under: Oreonectes platycephalus
Lineage: Eukaryota; Metazoa; Chordata; Actinopteri; Cypriniformes; Nemacheilidae
Also listed under: 1 other name
Description: tRNA-Tyr
Rfam family: tRNA
About the family: Transfer RNA (tRNA) molecules are approximately 80 nucleotides in length. Their secondary structure includes four short double-helical elements and three loops (D, anti-codon, and T loops).
Source: RNAcentral
GGUAGGAUGGCCGAGAUUAGGCGGUGGGUUGUAGCCCCGAAGACAGAGGUUUAAAUCCUCUUCCUAUCA